RNAcentral lists this ribosomal RNA (395 nucleotides) under uncultured bacterium. Its description in RNAcentral is "partial 16S ribosomal RNA". It matches the Rfam family "Bacterial small subunit ribosomal RNA", at positions 523 to 918 of the family's 1533-position model. The record is from RNAcentral.
AUACGUAGGGUGCAAGCGUUAAUCGGAAUUACUGGGCGUAAAGCGUGCGCAGGCGGUUUUGUAAGACAGAGGUGAAAUCCCCGGGCUCAACCUGGGAACUGCCUUUGUGACUGCAAGGCUAGAGUACGGCAGAGGGGGAUGGAAUUCCGCGUGUAGCAGUGAAAUGCGUAGAUAUGCGGAGGAACACCGAUGGCGAAGGCAAUCCCCUGGGCCUGUACUGACGCUCAUGCACGAAAGCGUGGGGAGCAAACAGGAUUAGAUACCCUGGUAGUCCACGCCCUAAACGAUGUCAACUGGUUGUUGGGUCUUCAUUGACUCAGUAACGAAGCUAACGCGUGAAGUGGACCGCCUGGGGAGUACGGCCGCAAGGUUGAAACUUAAAGGAAUUGACGGGG